GGUCCCGUAGCUCAGCAGGAUAGAGCAGCGGUUUCCUAAACCGGAGGUCAGGGGUUCGAAUCCCUUCGGGACCGCCA
RNAcentral lists this transfer RNA (77 nucleotides) under bacterium YEK0313. RNAcentral's name for it is "tRNA-Arg". It matches the Rfam family "tRNA". From Rfam's summary of the family: Transfer RNA (tRNA) molecules are approximately 80 nucleotides in length. Their secondary structure includes four short double-helical elements and three loops (D, anti-codon, and T loops). The record is from RNAcentral. RNAcentral also lists the same sequence under 2 other names.